GUGCGAAAGCUGGGGAGCUAAACAGGAUUAGGAUACCCUGGUAGGUACCUACCGGUCCGGUAAACGGAUCGUCGACUAGGCCGUUGGGGAUUACCUUAGAGAUCUUAGUGGACGCAGCUAACCGGCGAGUAAGUCGACCGGCCGUGGGGGAGUUAACCGGCCGCAAGGUUUAAAAACUACGAAAUGAAUUCGACCGGGGGGGCCCCGUCACAAGCGGUAGGAGCAUGUGGUUUAACUUCGAAGCCAACGACGAAACGGUAACCUUACCAGGACCUUGACA
This 280-nucleotide ribosomal RNA is filed under the name uncultured Pseudomonas sp. RNAcentral describes it as "partial 16S ribosomal RNA". The record is from RNAcentral. Lineage: Bacteria; Pseudomonadati; Pseudomonadota; Gammaproteobacteria; Pseudomonadales; Pseudomonadaceae.